RNAcentral lists this unclassified non-coding RNA (87 nucleotides) under Flavobacterium swingsii. RNAcentral's name for it is "Flavo-1 RNA". The record is from RNAcentral. Lineage: Bacteria; Pseudomonadati; Bacteroidota; Flavobacteriia; Flavobacteriales; Flavobacteriaceae.
UUCUCUGCGUGAGGGAUAGUAGUGGAAAGCCCACAGUCUCGUCUUUCGGGACGAGACGAGGACUUGGAACGGAUAGCCCGACCCGAA